This 478-nucleotide ribosomal RNA is filed under the name uncultured bacterium. RNAcentral's name for it is "bacterial SSU rRNA". It matches the Rfam family "Bacterial small subunit ribosomal RNA", at positions 26 to 518 of the family's 1533-position model. The record is from RNAcentral.
CGAGGACGAACGCUGGCGGCGUGCCUAACACAUGCAAGUCGAGCGAAGAUUAUAGCAAUGUAAUCUUAGCGGCGGACGGGUGAGUAACGCGUGGGCAACCUACCUCAAACUGGGGGAUAACACAGGGAAACUUGUGCUAAUACCGCAUAACAUCAUGAAAUGACAUCAUUUUAUGAUCAAAGGAGCAAUCCGGUAAGAGAUGGGCCCGCGUCCAAUUAGCUAGUUGGUGGUGUAACGGACCACCAAGGCGACGAUUGGUAGCCGAACUGAGAGGUUGAUCGGCCACAUUGGGACUGAGACACGGCCCAGACUCCUACGGGAGGCAGCAGUGGGGAAUAUUGCGCAAUGGGGGAAACCCUGACGCAGCAACGCCGCGUGAAGGAUGAAGGUUUUCGGAUCGUAAACUUCUUUGAUGAGGGACGAAAGCAAUGACGGUACCUCAAAAACAAGCCACGGCUAACUACGUGCCAGCAGCGGC